UACAGAGGUCUCAAGCGUUGUUCGGAUUCAUUGGGCGGAAAGAGCUCGUAGGCGGCUUGUCACGUCGACUGUGAAAGCCCGGGGCUCAACCCCGGGUCGGCCGUGCGGACUGGCGGGCUCGAGCACUGUAGGGGCGGGUGGAAUUCCGGGUGUAGCGGUGGAAUGCGCAGAUAUCAGGAGGAACACCGGUGGCGAAGGCGGGUCUCUGGGCAGUAACUGACGCUGAGGAGCGAAAGCGUGGGGAGCGAACAGG
RNAcentral lists this ribosomal RNA (253 nucleotides) under uncultured bacterium. RNAcentral describes it as "partial 16S ribosomal RNA". It matches the Rfam family "Bacterial small subunit ribosomal RNA", at positions 524 to 776 of the family's 1533-position model. The record is from RNAcentral.